This 400-nucleotide long non-coding RNA is filed under the name Ictidomys tridecemlineatus (thirteen-lined ground squirrel). RNAcentral describes it as "lncRNA (ENSSTOG00000034416.1)". Lineage: Eukaryota; Metazoa; Chordata; Mammalia; Rodentia; Sciuridae. The record is from RNAcentral.
CACCCUCCUCUCCAGGCGCUCCCACCUAGGCAGGCGCGAGGCGGAAGCACACUGGCGGGUGAAGGACAGAAAGACAAAUGGAGAGCUCUCCAGCCAGCACACGCAUUAAACAAAUGACCGUAAAGCGACGGCUUGCAGAGGAUCCGCUCAAGGAACCGCCUUCUAAAAGUCGUGUCGUCAGCCUCAGCAGUGCAGGACGCCUUCCUGACCGGAGGGUGCUGUCCUUGAAGGAGGAACAGCUCAUUUUGGUCUUCCGAGCAUCCCUGGAGAUGGCCAGCGCAGGUGCGGCUGUCCCCACAGGGCCGUCUCUUUCCAUCGCCACACCACCACCUCCGAAGUGCAUCCUAGGGUCCCGAUUUUACAGGGGGAGAAACUGAGGCACACAAAAAAAGGAACUUAU